Molecule: long non-coding RNA, 777 nt
Organism: Bactrocera neohumeralis
Lineage: Eukaryota; Metazoa; Arthropoda; Insecta; Diptera; Tephritidae
Exons: 3
Source: RefSeq, a predicted model, not a curated record
ACAUGUUUCUUUACUUAUUUUUACUUGUUGGAUUCCAAUCCUUCUUUUUGGACGCCAGUUUAGUAAAGUUAAAAAAAACUUAGAAUUCGGUGAGAUAGAACUGCACCUUAUGAAAAACAAUUUACAAUCGAAACUUAAAUCUAUAAAGAAUAUAACUAGAGGCUGUGUUCACUAUUUGCUACGUGACUUUGUAGAAGUUCACCAAUUUUCUUAUGCUUCCAAUAUCUUCUGUUGCACUGAUAAUAGAAUGAAGCGACCAUCGCAAUAGCUGAUAUGAGAUAACGAAUUUCCUUAUCCUCUCAAUGUCUUCAGUUGCAUUAAUAAUAGCAUCAAGCGACCAACGCAGUGGCUGUCACUCAAGCUACGCGUGAAAUCCCCGUAUGUGGAUGAGCUACUGGAGUUAAUUUAUACAUUUAAUCAAACGCUGCCUUCGUAACAGCAUGAUGAAAGAAAAACUUUGAUAGAUAGACCAUGACAACGACAUGAAACACAGUUACCCGAUGGUUGUGUGAUAAAUGUUUUAAGGCGGUAUUCCAACCACAUUUAAUAAAUUUUGAAGGACAAGGCUUUGCUGGGUCAAUGUUUAUUACCAUACAAACGGCAAAUAUCAUUACAUGACUGGAAUUGUACAAGCAUAUCGGGCGCGUGAGGAUGAGUUAGUGGCGGCGAUAUUUUGGCAGAAAUGGCAAAGAAUCGCGAUGGUUUCUAAAUGUGUAUAGAAAACAAGAAUAUUAAAAAAAGUGUUACAGAAACUUACAAAGAGCUCACAGCAGUAGA